RNAcentral lists this ribosomal RNA (366 nucleotides) under Burkholderia sp. 83R. RNAcentral's name for it is "bacterial SSU rRNA". It matches the Rfam family "Bacterial small subunit ribosomal RNA", at positions 974 to 1346 of the family's 1533-position model. Lineage: Bacteria; Pseudomonadati; Pseudomonadota; Betaproteobacteria; Burkholderiales; Burkholderiaceae. The record is from RNAcentral.
CCUACCCUUGACAUGUACGGAACCUUGCUGAGAGGUGAGGGUGCCCGAAAGGGAGCCGUAACACAGGUGCUGCAUGGCUGUCGUCAGCUCGUGUCGUGAGAUGUUGGGUUAAGUCCCGCAACGAGCGCAACCCUUGUCCCUAGUUGCUACGCAAGAGCACUCUAGGGAGACUGCCGGUGACAAACCGGAGGAAGGUGGGGAUGACGUCAAGUCCUCAUGGCCCUUAUGGGUAGGGCUUCACACGUCAUACAAUGGUCGGAACAGAGGGUUGCCAAGCCGCGAGGUGGAGCCAAUCCCAGAAAUCCUUCUAGUCCGGAUCGCAGUCUGCAACUCGACUGCGUGAAGCUGGAAUCGCUAGUAAUCGCG